GCCGGGCGCCUGUAGUCCCAGCUACUCGGGAGGCUGAGGCAGGAGGAUCGCUUGAGCCCAGGAGUUCUGGGCUGUAGUGCACUAUGCCGAUCGGGUGUCCGCACUAAGUUCGGCAUCAAUAUGGUGAUCUCCCAGGAGCGGGGGAUCACCAGGUUGCCUAAGGAGGGGUGAACCGGCCCAGGUCGGAAAUGGAGCAGGUCAAAAAUAAUACAUAGGUACUCCUAUUCUUUUUAAGUCAAAUUGAUAUCCAAGUAUAUAGUUUUUUAAAAAGAUUUUAUUU
Mustela putorius furo (domestic ferret) is the source of this 280-nucleotide unclassified non-coding RNA. It matches the Rfam family "Metazoan signal recognition particle RNA". Rfam says of the family: The signal recognition particle (SRP) is a universally conserved ribonucleoprotein. It is involved in the co-translational targeting of proteins to membranes. The record is from Ensembl. Lineage: Eukaryota; Metazoa; Chordata; Mammalia; Carnivora; Mustelidae.